This 349-nucleotide transfer-messenger RNA is filed under the name Gemmatimonadota bacterium. It matches the Rfam family "transfer-messenger RNA". Rfam says of the family: Bacterial tmRNA, also known as 10Sa RNA or SsrA, is named for its dual tRNA and mRNA-like properties. Its role is to liberate the mRNA from a stalled ribosome. The record is from Rfam by way of RNAcentral. Lineage: Bacteria; Pseudomonadati; Gemmatimonadota.
GGGGGCGUCACGGUUUCGACGUGUUUGGUGAAGGUGGAGUAGCGUGUCGAGGUCCCGAACCUCGUAAAUACUCGGGAAACUUUAUAGUUGCCAACACUGAUCUGGCACUGGCCGCGUAACCAAUCCGGCCCGUCUCUUGAGUUGCUCGCCCGAGGCGGCUCCUGAGGCGACGAUAAUUCGGGCUGGCCCCACCGCAGUGCUUCCGGGUGGUGGGGUGAGAACCAAGGAAGCUGGCUCCAGGACGGUUGACCACUGACCCAGCGGAGUGAGAUCCAAUAGCGGUCUACGCACGUAGCGACUCUACCGAAUCCCUUCGCGGACGCGGGUUCGACUCCCGCCGCCUCCACUC